Molecule: ribosomal RNA, 254 nt
Filed under: uncultured bacterium
Lineage: Bacteria
Description: partial 16S ribosomal RNA
Rfam family: Bacterial small subunit ribosomal RNA
Source: RNAcentral
UACGUAGGGGGCUAGCGUUUGUCCGGAAUCAUUGGGCGUAAAGCGCGUGUAGGUGGUCCGGUAAGUCCGCUGUGAAAGUCGGGGGCUCAACCCUCGGAUGCCGGUGGAUACUGUCGGGCUUGAGUGCGGAAGAGGCGAGUGGAAUUCCUGGUGUAGCGGUGAAAUGCGCAGAUAUCAGGAGGAACACCAAUUGCGAAGGCAGCUCGCUGGGACGUUACUGACGCUGAGACGCGAAAGCGUGGGGAGCAAACAGG